This 494-nucleotide ribosomal RNA is filed under the name uncultured bacterium. RNAcentral's name for it is "bacterial SSU rRNA". It matches the Rfam family "Bacterial small subunit ribosomal RNA", at positions 404 to 896 of the family's 1533-position model. The record is from RNAcentral.
CAGGAUAGACGGCCUUCGUGGUUGGAAACUGGUUUUGACGGGGACAAAAAAUGACCUUGCCAGGUUAAUUGAUCGUGCCUGGCUAAUAGCCACCGGCCACGUACGUGCCAACGGGCGCGGCGUUACCCAGAUUGCAUGCGUUGACCGGAUGUUAUUGGGUUUAUGGGAUGCGGAGGCGGACUAUUAUCGCCUUGGUGAAAUCCGCGAACUUAACAGUGGAUAUGUUGUUGGUGCUGGAGGCCUGGGGAACUCAGGAGGUAGGGGGAAUUGACAGUGAAGCGGUGAAAUGCCCAGAUAUUGACAAGAACCCCGAGAGCGAAGGCUGAUUGCUGGGCUGUAACUGAGGCUGAUGCNNGAAAGUGUGGGGAUCAAACAGGAUUGCAUACCCUGGUAGUCCCUACUGUAAACGUUGAUGACUCGCUGUGUGCCAUAUACAUAACGCGGCUUACAGCAAUCGUUAAGUCAUCCACCUGGGGAGUACGCCGGCAACGGUG